Molecule: long non-coding RNA, 715 nt
Filed under: Trifolium pratense (red clover)
Lineage: Eukaryota; Viridiplantae; Streptophyta; Magnoliopsida; Fabales; Fabaceae
Description: long non-coding RNA (TPRA_LNC009396)
Source: RNAcentral
CGUCGCACACCUUGCACAUGUGUGCAAGCCGCCGCUGUCUAGCCUCCAAAGUUAUAAAAGCUGUCAGAUUUUGCAGAUAGUUACAACCAUGUUGGUCCAUGUGUCUCCACCACAAGAUCAAAUAUGCUCUGCGCAUAGUAAAAGAUGGUACUUCCUUUUGCUUUAUUUAUAAGCAAAAAUCAACAACAAAAAUUUGGCCUUAAAUAUAAGCAAAAGUUACCAAAAGUAACUUCAUUAAAUGCUAUCAUUCCAAAAAUACCCCUAAUUAAUUGUUCAAUUUUUACUUGAUUGUAGAGUCUCAAUGCAAAUUUAAUACUAUUAGGAGGUCAUUUUAGGAAUUGUACUAAAAAGAGAAUUUUGGCUUACAAAAGAGACUGGAGGGAGUACAUCUGCUCCAUAUAAGUAGUAAUCCCUUCGUACCACAAUAUAUGUCACUUUAGGGGAAAAAUUUGUACCAUAAUAUAUGUCGCUUUAUAUUACCAAUGAAACAUUUAAUGUUAUUUUUCCUAUUAUACCAUUAACUAUUUAUUACUCUCUAUUCUUUCAAUUCUUCAAUUUAUUUUUUUCAUACAAUAAAUGAAGCAAUUUCUAAUUAAUAAUAUACGAGAGAGCUCCGUGAAAAUUUUGUAAUAUAUAUUAUAGAGGUUCAAUAAAAAAAUAAAAAACUAUUGCAUAGAUCAAAUAAAUUUAAAGAAAAAUAAAAUUAUGUUGAGUC